RNAcentral lists this ribosomal RNA (253 nucleotides) under uncultured bacterium. Its description in RNAcentral is "partial 16S ribosomal RNA". It matches the Rfam family "Bacterial small subunit ribosomal RNA", at positions 524 to 776 of the family's 1533-position model. The record is from RNAcentral.
UACGGAGGGUGCAAGCGUUAUCCGGAUUUAUUGGGUUUAAAGGGUCCGUAGGCGGUUAAAUAAGUCAGUGGUGAAAUCCUACAGCUCAACUGUAGAACUGCCAUUGAUACUGUUUAACUAGAAUUAUUGUGAAGUAGCUAGAAUGUGUAGUGUAGCGGUGAAAUGCAUAGAUAUUACGCAGAAUACCAAUUGCGAAGGCAGGUUACUAACAAUAUAUUGACGCUGAUGGACGAAAGCGUGGGGAGCGAACAGG